Mus musculus (house mouse) is the source of this 4625-nucleotide long non-coding RNA. RefSeq annotates it as predicted gene, 52815. NCBI's taxonomy places the organism in Eukaryota, Metazoa, Chordata, Mammalia, Rodentia, Muridae. The transcript has 3 exons. The record is from RefSeq and is a predicted model, not a curated record.
CUCAGAAAUCGGCCUGCCUCUGCCUCCUGAGUGCUGGGAUUAAAGGCAUGCACCACAAUGCCCGGCUGCAUUCGUUCAUCUCUAAACCAGGAUACUCUAACUCCUUCAGACCUGAGGAUAUUCAAACCCAAGAGGGAAGCUGUAACAAGCACCAAGAAUUUCCUCUCAACUCCUCCAACCAUAGGGUAACUAAAAUCAGGAAGGAGUCUCGAGCACUGCCUUCAUCUUACCUUCAUCUGUCUCUUUGACAUUGGCUCCAACCCUUUCUAGACUCUGAAGGCAUUUUAAGCUCUCAAGGAGUAUCUGUCUACCUAACCAGCUUCAUUCCACAUCAAGGCUGAAGGCAUGGAGAUAAGUCUCUGUCCUGAACCUCUCCUCUUGAGUCACCUUGCAUUCCAGGAGCAACAGGGCUGGUUGAUAAAUUAUCUCCGGUGACAAGGGACGAAAACCAUCUCCAAGAAAUGGUGAGCCAGCAGGACAUCUCGUCCCUAAGAUGACAAUAAUUACCUAUGUUGAAGAGGCUACUCCCUGGAACAGAUCAUCUUGUAGGAACCAGAUUGGUCUCCUCAAGUUAAUGCCAGAUUGGCAAUUGCUAUGACCUUUUGGGACCGGAACAGUGACAGAGACGGACAGGACCAUCCUUUGACCAAGACCGCUUAGUAAUGAUAGCCUCUUGCCCUCUUCAGCAAUUUUUCCCCAGUUAAAAUCUAGCUUAUGUGUCAGUGCCCCAAAAUGGAACCUGAACUCCUUCAAUUGUUUGUCUUCCCUGUGUAUUGAUUACACUUCCUUUCUCUGCUUUUCACUACGAAUCUUACAAAGAAACUUAAAUGCAAAAUAUCGAUUAUUUUUGUCAUCCCCCCCCCCCCCGCCAUUUUUGUAAAACCCAGUGACAGGACUGGGUAUCUGUUGGCAGAGUGCUUGCUUGCCUAGCAUACACAAAGUCCUGAGGUCAAUCCCUGGGUUCAGGCAUCAGCACUGCCUGUACCAGAUUCACACCAGUAACCAUAGCACUCAAGAGGUCGAAGCAGGAGGCUCGGGAGUUCAAGGCCGUCCUCUAGUAUAUCAUACAUUUGAGGCUAGCAUGGGCUAGAGAUCCUGUCUCAAAAACAAACAAAAUUCAGUGACAAAGGCCACGGAAGCUGCUUAACUUGGUUGAAAAGAGUGUUAUAAACACUGUGGUAUAUAGACUGCUUAGGUAGAAUAAUGUCAUCCUGACCCCGAGAGUCAAGCCAGGGAGAUUGGGGGAAAUUUGGACACUAUGGCCUUGAAUGUGGGGGAAACAUUUCUUUUUUUUCUUUUUAAUUCAAAAACAAGCCAGCAGGUUGCAUAACAUAGUAAUGGUGUUCUGCCUUCUUGGGAGCUGAAAGGAGACCACAGUCACAUGACACAACCAUCAAAAGACGACAAUGUUUCAGCAGGAAGGACGUGGGCUUAGCAGGUGUGGAGCUUGUUUUGUGAAGCAAGCUUAACCUACCAUAGCACUGCUACCCUUUGCUCCUGGCUGCAAGGGCAUGGGGGUGCGGGGGGGGGGGACUGCUCCCCAUGCUCCACUAAGUAAGCUUUGGGACCCAGUAUGGCUUUCUUGCCUGCCAGAGGAGCUUCCUAUAGGGAUCCUUUCUUGCAGUUUGUCUACCCCGAACAUGUGUUUUUAGUGUCCAGGUUAGAGCACGUGUGUGCCACCCAGGACCUUGAUAGCCCUUGGAGGACCUUUCUGCCCUUGACAGAGAAUGGGAAAAUUCUUAAUUAUUGCUUGUCCAGGGUCAAUUCCUGUGAGAAAUUUUUAUCCCUUCAUCUGCUACACCUGCUUAAUGAAUUCCCAAAUUCCGUCUUAAAAUGGAAGAUGCUAGGUUUCAGAACGCUGGGGCUUCCAGUGUGUGUUCCUGGGGCCACUCCCAAACUCUGUAACAUCUAUUUUAAUUCCUGUUAAUUCAUUACUAUAACCACUAGUUGACCGCAUAGUACAACGGUAAUAACUAUUAACUAUUAGUAAUAGUAUUAACUAUUGUUUCUAGUUGAGAAAAACCUUCGUUUGAUAUGGCCUUCUCUAAUACAAACUGGUCUCCCUCAUCUGCAAAUUAUAGUUACAGAAACAGGUCUCAUGUUGCCCAGGCUAGCCUCCAUCUCUGGAUGUGUGGAAGGAUGAUCUUAAAUUUCAGAUCCUCCCACUUCUACCUCUCGAGUGUUGGAGUUACAGCCAUGUACUGCCAUAGUUGGUUACACAGUGAUGGGGAAUCAAACCAGAGCCUGAUGCACGCUGGAUAUGCACUCUACAGCCAAGGUGAAGUUAAAAUGAAGCACUUAGGGUAGAUCCUAGUCCAGGGCCUUGGGAAUCCAGACAAACACAAAAGGGUGAAGACACAGAAAUCAGACAAGUAAGUACAAGGCAAGGAGAAAGUUCUGGAACAGAUCAUCACUCUCAAGCCUCAGACGUGCACAGACUCUCAGCUUUCCAGCAUCUAUCACCCCCAAAAUGGGAAACUUCUGCCCUUGGCUGCACUUUGUUGCAACAGACCUGGCAGAAGUCCAAACAAGACAAAAAGCUGAUUCUGCAGCCUACCCCUGCCUGCCAGCUGAUCGGCCUUGUUCAAGCUGGAGAACCUCUGGAGAGUCCAGCUCUGUAUGGGGUUCUUUCUUCCGAGCAAACCCUUAAGCUGUGGGAGGGCUGGAUCUGUGUGAUCUGACCUGUACCUGUCCCGGGCUUCCUUGCAGCUCCCCUGAGACAGCUUUUCCCUGUGAAGCUAGCCAGCAACUCCCAUCAGUAGCAGGCAAGAAUCCCAGGACUCACUCGACGAACCAGCCUCGUCUGGCUGGAUUCUUGAAGAACAUAUGGAGUCACCCUAUUCCCCUAUAGCAGCUUCAACUCUCAGGUUCUCUUUCUUGUAGCCCAUCUCCUGGGUCCUCGGUGGUCCCUGGGGGUCCCCGGCAAGAGGCAGGUUGUUUAGGCCAGCCAGAUACCACUUAAAGAGACCCAAUUCAAAACAUAACCGUGUGCGACUCAACUUACGGUCAGGCUCUGAAUCUACAAGAAUUUCAUAAACAAGUAACAUUUAAAAAAAUGGUUAUCGAUGAAGGAAAAAAAGAACCUGAAGAAAUCAGAUGAUGUGAGGGAGGUUUAGGCAAGACCUUUCAGGUACAGUGUGUUCUAAAAUUUGACUUUUGAAUUGUAGAAAUAAAUGACCUAUUAAAAUAAAAUUUUAAUUUAAAAUGUGCUCUCUACUUAAGAGGGUACCCGAGUGUGUGUGUGUGUGUGUGUGUGUGUGUGUGUGUGUGUUUUUGCAUUGGAAACACACCCAGUGUAAUUUGUAAAAUAAAUACAUAAUAAAUAGGUUAAAUGUUUAUUUUGACUUAUGUUUUCAAAUGCCAGUUGUUUAAUUUACCAUGAAGGAUUGCUGGCAGACCCAUCAUCACUGGUACCGAAUACGGCAUUCAGACCUUGACCUAGGCUGGCCUUCCCAGGAAACCAGCUCUGUGGCCUUGCCCUCUUCACUCUUCCCAUCAAUACCACAGGCUGACUUCUCCUGUUGACAGGCGCAUGGUCAACACACACACACACACACACACACACACACACACACACACACACACACACAGAGGUUUCCAUUGCACAUGCACAGUGGGAGGUCAUUGGCUAAGCGGUUUCAAAACACACAGCCUAAGUCGUGGCAAGAUCCAACCUUAAGAAUGCGUUUAUUUGAUUCCAUGUCACUGUACCAUAUACUUGGGCUACUCUAAAGAGAGACAUAGGUCCCCUUUCCCCAAGCACUUUACUUGGAGAAGUUCAGGGCCAGAAAGGCUGCUGUCUUCUUCCUCAGUCCUAGGGCAGAAACUUCCAUGAAAGCUGGUGAGGUGAUGUUCACCCGCAUCUUUUUUAGACCCUCCCCUCCUUACCUUAAACCGCUCCCCCACCCCCCACCCCCCAAGAAGGAAAAGACAAAAGAAUGCUAUAACAUUUUCAAGAACUAAGCAAGCACAACAGCCAGCACUGUCCUGAUUGGUCCCGUCGCCCCUGUUUUCUUGUGCUAUAGAGAAUAUCUAAGGGUUCGUCUCCUCUAAACAGACGCUUGUAAGGAAAGUUUAACACAAUUUAUAGAGCUGUAAAGUUCUUGGUAUGGCCCUCAUUGGAGUGCUUUCUCACAUUCCCAGAAGUAGCCAAUCUACCACGUGGCAGAGCUGCUAGAGGAAGGGAGGGAGCCAGCGGGGCCCUGAGCUGCCCGCAGGAGCAGCAGCAGCAGCAGGGCAGGGCGGCUCCCAGGAGGGCGCAGGCGUGGCGGCCCCUCCCUGCCGCGAGCCCAUGCCCGCCCACUGCCACCGGCGAAAAGGAGGAGAGACCUACAUUUAAAAAGGCAGGAACCUACUAGCUCCAGAGCUCCUACAAUGCCGAAUGAGAAUUCCUAUUUAUGAGGUCAAACGGAGGUCAAGAAUUAUCCAGUCAUCUCUAAAACCCCCUACUUAGGGGGUCAAGCCAGGCUGGCAACCCAUGUUAGCUAAAUAGAACUUGAUCUCCCGAAAGCCUAAAACUGCUUUAUUUUUUCUUUCUUCCUUUCUUUCUUUCACUUUUUUACUGUUUUGCCAGAGAUACGGGUUGGCUUUUUUUUUUUUUUCUGUUACUUCCGGUUUGUGGCUGA